This 982-nucleotide ribosomal RNA is filed under the name uncultured bacterium. RNAcentral's name for it is "bacterial SSU rRNA". It matches the Rfam family "Bacterial small subunit ribosomal RNA", at positions 8 to 997 of the family's 1533-position model. The record is from RNAcentral.
AGAGUUUGAUCAUGGCUCAGAAUCAACGCUGGCGGCGUGCCUAACACAUGCAAGUCGAGCGAGAAAAGGGGGGCAACUCCCUGAGUACAGCGGCGCACGGGUGAGUAACACGUGGGUAAUCUGCCCUGAAGUGGGGAAUAACACCGGGAAACCGGUGCUAAUACCGCAUACGAUCACGGAGUCUGCGGAUUUUGUGAUGAAAGGAGCAAUUCGCUUUAGGAGGAGCCCGCGGCUGAUUAGCUAGUUGGUGAGGUAAUGGCUCACCAAGGCUACGAUCAGUAUCCGGUCUGAGAGGACGGUCGGACACACUGGAACUGAGACACGGUCCAGACUCCUACGGGAGGCAGCAGUGGGGAAUUUUUCGCAAUGGGGGCAACCCUGACGAAGCAACGCCGCGUGGGUGAUGAAGUCUCUUGGGACGUAAAACCCUUUCGACGGGGAAGAAACCGCAAGGUUGACGGUACCCGUAGAAGAAGCCCCGGCUAACUCCGUGCCAGCAGCCGCGGUAAUACGGGGGGGGCAAGCGUUGUUCGGAAUUACUGGGCGUAAAGGGUGCGUAGGCGGCUCGUUAAGUUAGAUGUGAAAACUCUGGGCUCAACCCAGAGCCUGCAUCUGAAACUGGCGGGCUAGAGUUCUGGAGGGGGUAGCGGAAUUCCUGGUGUAGCGGUGAAAUGCGUAGAUAUCAGGAGGAACACCGGUGGCGAAGGCGGCUACCUGGACAGAAACUGACGCUGAGGCACGAAAGCUAGGGGAGCAAACAGGAUUAGAUACCCUGGUAGUCCUAGCCCUAAACGAUGGAUACUUGGUGUGACCGGGAUUGAAUCCGGUCGUGCCGAAGCUAACGCAUUAAGUAUCCCGCCUGGGGAGUACGGUCGCAAGGCUGAACUCAAGGAAUUGACGGGGGCCCGCACAAGCGGUGGAGUAUGUGGUUUAAUUCGACGCAACGCGAAGAACCUUACCUGGGCUCGAACGGCUAGUGACA